Molecule: ribosomal RNA, 429 nt
Filed under: Actinomycetes bacterium
Lineage: Bacteria; Bacillati; Actinomycetota; Actinomycetes
Description: Actinobacteria bacterium partial 16S ribosomal RNA
Rfam family: Bacterial small subunit ribosomal RNA
Source: RNAcentral
UAGGGAAUCUUCCGCAAUGGGCGAAAGCCUGACGGAGCAACGCCGCGUGAGUGAUGAAGGUCUUCGGAUCGUAAAACUCUGUUAUUAGGGAAGAACAAAUGUGUAAGUAACUAUGCACGUCUUGACGGUACCUAAUCAGAAAGCCACGGCUAACUACGUGCCAGCAGCCGCGGUAAUACGUAGGUGGCACGCGUUAUCCGGAACUAUUGGGCGUAAAGCGCGCGUAGGCGGUUUGUUAAGUCUGAUGUGAAAGCCCACGGCUCAACCGUGGAGGGUCAUUGGAAACUGGAAAACUUGAGUGCAGAAGAGGAAAGUGGAAUUCCAUGUGUAGCGGUGAAAUGCGCAGAGAUAUGGAGGAACACCAGUGGCGAAGGCGACUUUCUGGUCUGUAUAUGAAGCUGAUGUGCGAAAGCGUGGGGAUCAAACAGG